UCCCAAUGCAAAGUCUAUGGCCAGCCGCGACCUGACGCGACUUGGCGACCGCCGGCUGCCUGCGACGCGACCUGACGCGACCUAGCGACCGGUCGCCAAGGCGCGUCCCCGAGGUCGCGUCGCCGAGGUCGCAGGACGCCAAGUCGCGUCGCUCCCAAAGUUCAAAUAUUUGAACUUUGGGAGCGACUCCGUGCCGCGACAGCCAAUCAGGGCUCUGCUGACGUCAACAAACCGGCGAAACAAGGAAGAGGAGAAGAAGAAUCACAAUGGAGGAGCAGUUAAUCACAUCCGUUAGCUACCACCCGGUGCUAUACGACGUGGGUUGCGGGCUGUACCGGGACCGCAACGCCAAAGAAGAAGCAUGGGGGAAGGUGGCCCGUGAUGUCGGGCUUUCUGGUAAGCUUGUUUGUUUAUUUAUUU
RNAcentral lists this long non-coding RNA (420 nucleotides) under Xyrichtys novacula (pearly razorfish). Lineage: Eukaryota; Metazoa; Chordata; Actinopteri; Labriformes; Labridae. The record is from RNAcentral.